Molecule: long non-coding RNA, 404 nt
Filed under: Prunus persica (peach)
Lineage: Eukaryota; Viridiplantae; Streptophyta; Magnoliopsida; Rosales; Rosaceae
Description: long non-coding RNA (PPER_LNC008632)
Source: RNAcentral
AGGACCAAUCGAUACCGGAUUAAGUCCAAAACUUGGGGAACAUCAUAAUAUUGUGGGAGUUGUCAUUUGAUGGGUUUUGAGUGAAAUCCAAUCCCUGGAACUAUACAACACACCAACCACUCCAUUUCAGAACGAACUUCGUACGAACCUGAAUUGUCCGAUUUCAAGGACCAAUCAAUAUCGGAUUAAGUUCAAAACAUGGGGAACAUCAUAAUAUUGUGGGAGGAGUCAUUUGGUGGGUUUUGAGUGAAAUACAAUCCCUAGAACUAUACAGUACACCAGCCACUCCAUUUCAGAACGAACUUCGUAUGAACCUGAAUUGUCCGAUUUCAAGGACCAAUCGAUAUCGGAUUGAGUCCAAAACUUGGGGAACAUCAUAAUAUUGUGGGAGGAGUCAUUUGGUG